GAUGAACGCUGGCGGCGUGCUUAACACAUGCAAGUCGAACGAAGCGCUUAAACGGAUUUCUUCGGAAUGAAGUUUUUGCGACUGAGUGGCGGACGGGUGAGUAACGCGUGGGUAACCUGCCUCAUACAGGGGGAUAACAGUUAGAAAUGACUGCUAAUACCGCAUAAGACCACAGCACCGCAUGGUGCAGGGGUAAAAACUCCGGUGGUAUGAGAUGGAUCCGCGUCUGAUUAGCUAGUUGGUAAGGUAACGGCUUACCAAGGCAACGAUCAGUAGCCGACCUGAGAGGGUGACCGGCCACAUUGGGACUGAGACACGGCCCAA
This 324-nucleotide ribosomal RNA is filed under the name uncultured bacterium. RNAcentral's name for it is "bacterial SSU rRNA". It matches the Rfam family "Bacterial small subunit ribosomal RNA", at positions 28 to 334 of the family's 1533-position model. The record is from RNAcentral.